UGCAUGUCUAAGUAUAAGCCUUUAUACGGUGAAACUGCGAAUGGCUCAUUAAAACAGUUAUCGUCUCCUUGACAGUUCAUACUACAUGGAUACCUAUGGUAAUUCUAGAGCUAAUACAUGCCUACAGACCCGACUCACGAAGGGUUGUGCUUAUUAGAUACUACACCAACUGUCUCCGGACAGUUAUGCUGACUCAUAGUACCCAGCGAAUCGCAUGCUUCGGCGGCGAUGUGUCAUCCGAGUUUCUGACCUAUCAGCUUUCGACGGUAGGGUAUUGGCCUACCGUUGCUUUGACGGGUAACGGAGAAUUAGGGUUCGAUUCCGGAGAGGGAGCCUGCGAAACGGCUACCACAUCUAAGGAAGGCAGCAGGCGCGCAAAUUACCCAAUCCUGACUCAGGGAGGUAGUGACAAGAAAUAACAAUACUGAGCCUUUCAGGUUUAGUAAUUGGAAUGAGAACAAUUUAGAUCCCUUAUCGAGUAUCAAUUGGAGGGCAAGUCUGGUGCCAGCAGCCGCGGUAAUUCCAGCUCCAAUAGCGUAUAUUAAAGUCGUUGCGGUUAAAAAGCUCGUAGUUGGAUUUCUGCAUGGAAGGAGCGGUCCACCCUUUGGGUGAGUUACUGCUACCUUUUGUGCAUCUUCCUGAGAAGGCGUUCUUCACUUAAUUGUGAGGCCGCAUGACUCAGGACGUUUACUUUGAGGAAAUGAGAGUGUUUCAAGCAGGCAAAUGCCUUGAGUACGUUAGCAUGGAAUAAUAGCAUCGGACCAUCGUCAUGCUGUUGGUGUCAUGGCGAAGGUAAAGGUGAAUAGGGAUUGUUGGGGGCAUUCGUAUUUAACUGUCAGAGGUGAAAUUCUUGGAUUUGUUGAAGACGGACUACUGCGAAAGCAUCUG
This 888-nucleotide ribosomal RNA is filed under the name uncultured Syndiniales. RNAcentral's name for it is "SSU rRNA". It matches the Rfam family "Eukaryotic small subunit ribosomal RNA", at positions 52 to 957 of the family's 1831-position model. Lineage: Eukaryota; Dinophyceae; Syndiniales. The record is from RNAcentral.